This 578-nucleotide long non-coding RNA is filed under the name Phoenix dactylifera (date palm). RNAcentral describes it as "long non-coding RNA (PDAC_LNC021362)". The record is from RNAcentral. Lineage: Eukaryota; Viridiplantae; Streptophyta; Magnoliopsida; Arecales; Arecaceae.
CCAACACGUCCACACCAGAUAAACAAAUUAGUUCAAUUACAAGAUCUUCAAAUGUUCAUCAACAUCAAAGAAAGAUAAACAAACCAACUAAUUAAUGACUCGGGUACUCGCACUCUGCGCCCAUCCUGUCCAAAUCAAUGCAUCAUGUAACUCUGGUAAAGAAAAAGAAAAGAGGGGGUGAGCCUUACAGCCCAGUAAGAAUCCCUACACAUCCAUACCAACACAAUAAUAAUAUGAAUUCGAAAACCACGACAAAUCGAUGCACAUUUCAUGAAAACAUAAACAGUUUCCAAAACUCAAAUAAUCAAUAUAAGUAUGUACAUCAAACAUCAAUAAAAGUCCAGUCACACAAGAAUGAUAUAGCAUAUCAUAGCUCAUAAACCUUCAUUACUGUUUUCAAUGCUUUUUCUUCUAUUCCAUGUUAACUUGAUCCGGAUCAAUUAUCUUUCCGACUUUGGGCUACAUCCCGGUCACGUUUCCGGCCCGUGACGGGGCAAUCGAUAGUAUCACAUUUCCGGCCUGUGAUGGGGCAAUCGAUAGUAUCACAUUUCCAGCCUGUGACGGGGCAAUCGAUGGUA